AUACGUAGGGUCCAAGCGUUGUCCGGAAUUACUGGGUGUAAAGGGGGCGCAGGCGGGUUUGCGCGUCAGGGGUUAAAUCUAUCGGCUCAACCGAUAAACAGCCUCUGAAACGGCAAGCCUUGAGUACGAGAGAGGGUGGUAGAAUUCCUGGUGUAGCGGUGAAAUGCGUAGAUAUCAGGAGGAAUACCGGUGGCGAAGGCGGCCACCUGGCUCGUUACUGACGCUCAGGCACGAAAGCGUGGGGAGCAAACAGGAUUAGAUACCCCAGUAGUCC
RNAcentral lists this ribosomal RNA (274 nucleotides) under uncultured bacterium. RNAcentral's name for it is "partial 16S ribosomal RNA". It matches the Rfam family "Bacterial small subunit ribosomal RNA", at positions 523 to 796 of the family's 1533-position model. The record is from RNAcentral.